GACGAACGCUGGCGGCGUGCCUAAUACAUGCAAGUCGAGCGAAGUUUUUCUGGUGCUUGCACCGGAAAAACUUAGCGGCGCACGGGUGAGUAACACGUAAAGAACCUGCCUCAUAGACUGGGACAACUAUUGGAAACGAUAACUAAUACCGGAUAACAGCAUUAACUGCAUGGUUGAUGUUUAAAAGUUGGUUUUGCUAACACUAUGAGAUGGCUUUGCGGUGCAUUAGCUAGUUGGUGGGGUAAAGGCCUACCAAGGCGACGAUGCAUAGCCGACCUGAGAGGGUGAUCGGCCACACUGGGACUGAGACACGGCCCAGACUCCUACGGGAGGCAGCAGUAGGGAAUCUUCCGCAAUGGGCGAAAGCCUGACGGAGCAACGCCGCGUGAGUGAAGAAGGAUUUCGGUUCGUAAAGCUCUGUUGUUAGGGAAGAAUGAUUGUGUAGUAACUAUACACAGUAGAGACGGUACCUAACCAGAAAGCCACGGCUAACUACGUG
RNAcentral lists this ribosomal RNA (499 nucleotides) under uncultured bacterium. RNAcentral describes it as "partial 16S ribosomal RNA". It matches the Rfam family "Bacterial small subunit ribosomal RNA", at positions 28 to 507 of the family's 1533-position model. The record is from RNAcentral.